UACGAAGGGGGCUAGCGUUGUUCGGAAUUACUGGGCGUAAAGCGCGCGCAGGCGGUCUUCCAAGUCAGUGGUGAAAGCCCGGAGCUCAACUCCGGAACUGCCAUUGAAACUGUGAGACUUGAGGAUGAGAGAGGUGAGUGGAAUUCCCAGUGUAGAGGUGAAAUUCGUAGAUAUUCGGAAGAACACCAGUGGCGAAGGCGGCUCACUGGACCGGUAUUGACGCUGAGGUGCGAAAGCGUGGGGAGCAAACAGG
Molecule: ribosomal RNA, 253 nt
Filed under: uncultured bacterium
Lineage: Bacteria
Description: partial 16S ribosomal RNA
Rfam family: Bacterial small subunit ribosomal RNA
Source: RNAcentral